Long non-coding RNA from Clupea harengus (Atlantic herring), 1591 nucleotides. Lineage: Eukaryota; Metazoa; Chordata; Actinopteri; Clupeiformes; Clupeidae. The record is from Ensembl.
CGGCUGCUGACACAAGGCCUGGUGGGGCCCCCGGCCCCUCGCCCCGUCCCCGGCCCCCUGUGUGGGAGCCCUACCUGCUUCUUGCUCACACACACACACACACACACACACACACACACACACUGAGCCCUAUAGGUUUGCAUAUGCAAAAAGAAAGAGAGAAAAAUCCUUGUGCGUGUGAGUGUGUGGUAGUGCUGGUAUAGUGAGGAUUCUUAAUGUGUUCAGGAAGUGUGCAGAUGCAAAAUGUUGGUCGGCCUUUUGCUCUGAACUCCGCUACGGUGUUCAGUGUGCCAUGUGACAUUCUCAAAUGAUUCAGACCACACCCAUCACUGUACCUAUGGAAGUGUUUCUCUCGCCUUGAGACAUGCAAAGGCGACAUGCCAUGAUGUGGUAUGAAACUACAUGCAAAGGCGACAUGCCAUGAUGUGGUAUGAAACUACAUGCAAAGGCGACAUGCCAUGAUGUGGUAUGAAACUACAUGCAAAGGCAGGAAUGUGAGUAUUUAUCCCUCCUUGCCCCUCGUCUGCCCCUCGUCUGCCCCUUUACCGCGCUGUCAGACUACUCAAUUACCAUGUGAAUGGAGGAUUAAGAUAAAACACUCUGCUCUUUAUUUUUCGAGCGGUAUGUGAGAAGUCAUCUCCCUCCCCUUGGCUGGCUCUUCUGGGCAGUGAGCCGAAGCACCAUACAAGGCUGUGAAACGGCAGUGUCUGCGGGGUGUUGUUAUUAGGAGGAAUAUACAAACUUAUCAUGAGCAAGCUGAUUAGCUGUUCCUUGUAUGGACUCCGCUCCUGUAUUCCUACGAGCCAAGUCGCUUUGUGGAAUGAAGGUGCCGGCAGACUGCGUGGUUAACCUUUAGUCGGAGAAGUUCAAAGAUCCUGUGCAGGCCAUCAUCGGUGAUCCAGACAUUCAGAUGACAUGCAGCCACAGGUAUGCCUUUUACAAUACAGGAAACGGAAUAAAUAAAUACUGUAUAUCUAUAUCAUAUAUCUCUAUCACAUCUGCACUAACCACCACUAUUGCUGCUUACUGUUCAUAUUACUUAUGUCUUAUACCAUACUGUAUAUAUUCUAUUUAUCUAUUUUUAUAUUACCACUUUGCACAUACUCUGCACUCUUCUGAUUUUGCACUUCUGGUUAGAUGCUAACUGCAUUUCGUUGCCUCAGUACUUGUACUCUGUGCAAUGACAAUAAAGUUGAAUCUAAUCUAAUCUAAUCUAAAUACAGGGUUUAUGAAUCUACUUUAAUCUAGAGAUCUGUCCACUCCCUUCAACUAAUUGCUAAAGAAAAACCAUUACAGUUUUGGGCAUUGGGCAAAACACCAAAGUGUCCCUUGUAAUUAACUGACAGUGAUGUCAGUGAUACCUUUGAAAGCUUCCAAAACUGUUGUUUCUUCGACCAAAUUUGGCCGAAAACCUGCAGCGACAGACCAAGAUGUCCCAGCCUGAAUGAAAAAGGGAGCUAUUUAUGGCUUUUAGUCUUGUAUUUCCAUGCGAAUGCCUCAGUCCCUGAGCUUCACAAUGGCAUCUCGCUGAUUUUUACGAGAUACAGUUUCACACUCGGUGAGAAUCCCAGGAUCUUCCCAUGACCCCCAC